This 253-nucleotide ribosomal RNA is filed under the name uncultured bacterium. RNAcentral's name for it is "partial 16S ribosomal RNA". It matches the Rfam family "Bacterial small subunit ribosomal RNA", at positions 524 to 776 of the family's 1533-position model. The record is from RNAcentral.
UACAGAGGGGGCGAGCGUUGUUCGGAAUUACUGGGCGUAAAGGGCGCGUAGGCGGCCUCUUAAGUCGAACGUGAAAUCCCCGGGCUCAACCCGGGAACUGCGUCCGAUACUGGGGGGCUUGAAUCCGGGAGAGGGAUGUGGAAUUCCAGGUGUAGCGGUGAAAUGCGUAGAUAUCUGGAGGAACACCGGUGGCGAAGGCGGCAUCCUGGACCAACACUGACGCUGAGGAGCGAAAGCCAGGGGAGCAAACGGG